This 459-nucleotide long non-coding RNA is filed under the name Rosa chinensis. RNAcentral describes it as "sRNA RchiOBHm_Chr5g0049521". Lineage: Eukaryota; Viridiplantae; Streptophyta; Magnoliopsida; Rosales; Rosaceae. The record is from RNAcentral.
GCUAGGCCUCGUCAACGGGCCGGGCCGAGCCCGGCCCGGCCCAUUCAUAGCGGGCCCGGGCCGGGCCGGCCCGGGCCUAAUGAGAUUUUUAAAUAGUGACGGGCCGGGCCUCAUUGUAAAUCAACGGAUCCAAGCCCGUCCAUAUAAGGCGGGCCUUGCGGGCUUUUACGGGCCGGGCCGGGUAGCCCACCAUUUUUCGGGCCGGGCCGGGCUUUUGUAUUAUGCGAGUUUCAGAAACCAUUUUAUUAUGCAAUAUUUAGCUUCAUCCACAACAACUAAUUUUACACAACCUCAUUCAACUAAUAACUAAUUGAUAAGGUCUUGUCUAAAAUGGAUAUAAGAUAUCCUGCUUCUAGAAUCUAGAUCAUCACCGGUCAUAUUAAGGAUGCUAUUUAUUUCCUUCUAAAGUUUUAAGGGGUUUGGAACCUAGCCGAACUAGGAGGCUCAUCCCCACGUCCG